RNAcentral lists this ribosomal RNA (253 nucleotides) under uncultured bacterium. RNAcentral describes it as "partial 16S ribosomal RNA". It matches the Rfam family "Bacterial small subunit ribosomal RNA", at positions 524 to 776 of the family's 1533-position model. The record is from RNAcentral.
UACAGAGGGUGCGAGCGUUAAUCGGAAUUACUGGGCGUAAAGCGUGCGUAGACGGUUAUUUAAGUCUGAUGUGAAAGCCCUGGGCUCAACCUGGGAAUGGCAUUGGAAACUGGCGACCUAGAGUGCGGUAGAGGGUAGUGGAAUUCCCGGUGUAGCAGUGAAAUGCGUAGAUAUCAGAAGGAACAUCAGUGGCGAAGGCGGCUUUCUGGACCAAUACUGACGAUCAGGUGCGAAAGCGUGGGGAGCAAACAGG